Molecule: ribosomal RNA, 2912 nt
Filed under: Pseudomonadota bacterium
Lineage: Bacteria; Pseudomonadati; Pseudomonadota
Description: bacterial LSU rRNA
Rfam family: Bacterial large subunit ribosomal RNA
Source: RNAcentral
GUUAUAGGAUCAAGCGACUAAGUGCAUGUGGUGGAUGCCUUGGCGAUCACAGGCGAUGAAGGACGUGGCAGCCUGCGAAAAGCUGCGGGGAGCUGGCAAGCAAGCGUUGAUCCGCAGGUGUCCGAAUGGGGAAACCCGGCCCGAAUGGGUCAUCCUGGACUGAAUCCAUAGGUCCAUGGAGGCGAACCUGCCGAACUGAAACAUCUCAGUAGGCAGAGGAAAAGAAAUCAACCGAGAUUCCGAAAGUAGUGGCGAGCGAAAUCGGAGUAGCCUGCACGAUUUAGCCAUCGCUUUAGCAGAACUGUCUGGAAAGUCAGACCGUAGAGGGUGAUAGUCCCGUAUGCGAAAAGGCGGUGGUGGAACUAGGCGUGCGAGAAGUAGGGCGGGACACGUGGAAUCCUGCCUGAAGAUGGGGGGACCAUCCUCCAAGGCUAAAUACUCGUGAUCGACCGAUAGUGAACCAGUACCGUGAGGGAAAGGCGAAAAGAACCCCGGGAGGGGAGUGAAAUAGAACCUGAAACCACAUGCAUACAAACAGUAGGAGCCCCGCAAGGGGUGACUGCGUACCUUUUGUAUAAUGGGUCAGCGAGUUACGCUGUGUGGCGAGCUUAACCGAAUAGGGGAGGCGUAGGGAAACCGAGUCCGAACAGGGCGUCUAGUCGCACGGUGUAGACCCGAAAGCAGAUGAUCUACCCAUGGCCAGGCUGAAGGUUGGGUAACGCUAACUGGAGGGCCGAACCCACUACUGUUGAAAAAGUAGGGGAUGAGCUGUGGGUAGGGGUGAAAGGCUAAACAAAUCUGCAGAUAGCUGGUUCUCUCCGAAAGCUAUUUAGGUAGCGCCUCAUGUAUCACUCCUGGGGGUAGAGCACUGUAAUGGCUAGGGGGUCAUCGCGACUUACCAAACCAUAGCAAACUCCGAAUACCAGGAAGUGCGAGCAUGGGAGACAGACAUCGGGUGCUAACGUCCGGUGUCGAGAGGGAAACAACCCAGACCGCCAGCUAAGGUCCCCAAUGAUUGGCUAAGUGGCAAACGAGGUGGGAAGGCGAAGACAGUCAGGAGGUUGGCUUAGAAGCAGCCACCCUUUAAAGAAAGCGUAAUAGCUCACUGAUCGAGUCGUCCCGCGCGGAAGAUGUAACGGGGCUCAAGCCAAUAACCGAAGCUGCGGAUUUGUGUGUCCUUCGGGGCAUGCAGAUGGUAGGAGAGCGUUCCGUAGGCCUGCGAAGGUGGCUCGUGAGGGCUGCUGGAGGUAUCGGAAGUGCGAAUGCUGACAUGAGUAGCGAUAAAGCGGGUGAAAAGCCCGCUCGCCGUAAGCCCAAGGUUUCCUGCGCAACGUUCAUCGGCGCAGGGUGAGUCGGCCCCUAAGGCGAGGCAGAAAUGCGUAGUCGAUGGGAAACGGGUCAAUAUUCCCGUACCGGCUUGGAAUGCGAUGGGGGGACGGAGAAGGCUAGGCAGGCCGGGUGUUGGACGUCCCGGUUCAAGCGCGUAGGCGGAUCCCUUAGGCAAAUCCGGGGGAUCAACGCUGAGACGUGACGACGAGCGCUCACUGAGCGCGAAGCUGUUGACGCCAUGCUUCCAGGAAAAGCCUCUAAGCUUCAGUUCCAAGUCGACCGUACCGCAAACCGACACAGGUGGGCGAGAUGAACAUUCUCAGGCGCUUGAGAGAACUCAGGAGAAGGAACUCGGCAAAUUGACACCGUAACUUCGGAAGAAGGUGUGCCCCGAGUAGGUGAACCUGUACAAGGGGAGCCGAAUGGGGUCGCAGAGAAUCGGUGGCUGCGACUGUUUAAUAAAAACACAGCACUCUGCAAACACGAAAGUGGACGUAUAGGGUGUGACGCCUGCCCGGUGCCGGAAGGUUAAGUGAUGGGGUGCAAGCCCUUGAUCGAAGCCCCGGUAAACGGCGGCCGUAACUAUAACGGUCCUAAGGUAGCGAAAUUCCUUGUCGGGUAAGUUCCGACCUGCACGAAUGGCGUAACGAUGGCCACACUGUCUCCUCCUGAGACUCAGCGAAAUUGAAGUGGUUGUGAUGAUGCAAUCUACCCGCGGCUAGACGGAAAGACCCCAUGCACCUUUACUGUAGCUUUGCAUGGGACUGUGAACCGGUCUGUGUAGGAUAGCUGGGAGGCUUUGAAGCGGGGACGCCAGUUCCCGUGGAGCCGUCGUUGAAAUACCAGCCUGAUCUGUUCGCGGUUCUAACCUAGGCCCGUCAUCCGGGUCGGGGACAGUGCAUGGCAGGCAGUUUGACUGGGGCGGUCUCCUCCUAAAGGGUAACGGAGGAGCUCGAAGGUACGCUAGGCACGGUCGGAAAUCGUGCUGAUAGUGCAUUGGCAAAAGCGUGCUUGACUGCGAGACUGACACGUCGAGCAGGUGCGAAAGCAGGACAAAGUGAUCCGGUGGUUCUGUAUGGAAGGGCCAUCGCUCAACGGAUAAAAGGUACGCUGGGGAUAACAGGCUGAUUCCGCCCAAGAGUUCACAUCGACGGCGGAGUUUGGCACCUCGAUGUCGGCUCAUCACAUCCUGGGGCUGUAGCCGGUCCCAAGGGUAUGGCUGUUCGCCAUUUAAAGUGGUACGUGAGCUGGGUUUAAAACGUCGUGAGACAGUUUGGUCCCUAUCUGCCGUGGGCGCUGGAGAUUUGACGGGGCCUGCUCCUAGUACGAGAGGACCGGAGUGGACGCACCUCUGGUGUACCGGUUGUGACGCCAGUCGCAUCGCCGGGUAGCUAAGUGCGGAAGAGAUAACCGCUGAAAGCAUCUAAGCGGGAAACUCGCCCGAAGAUGAGAUCUCCCCGGAGGCCAGACCUCCCUGAAGGGUCGCGGAAGACCACCGCGUUGAUAGGCCGGGUGUGGAAGCGCAGCAAUGCGUUGAGCUAACCGGUACUAAUUGCCCGUGAGGCUUGAUCCUAUAACCCUGA